This 125-nucleotide ribosomal RNA is filed under the name Agaricomycetes sp. Its description in RNAcentral is "partial small subunit ribosomal RNA". It matches the Rfam family "Eukaryotic small subunit ribosomal RNA", at positions 1657 to 1779 of the family's 1831-position model. Lineage: Eukaryota; Fungi; Basidiomycota; Agaricomycetes. The record is from RNAcentral.
CCUUUGUACACACCGCCCGUCGCUACUACCGAUUGAAUGGCUUAGUGAGACCUCCGGAUUGGCUUCGGGGAGCCGGCAACGGCACCCUGUCGCUGAGAAGCUGGUCAAACUUGGUCAUUUAGAGG